Molecule: microRNA, 22 nt
Filed under: Apis mellifera (honey bee)
Lineage: Eukaryota; Metazoa; Arthropoda; Insecta; Hymenoptera; Apidae
Description: ame-miR-3752-3p
Source: miRBase by way of RNAcentral
GUGGAUAAAGUUUCCUUGCGAA